UACGUAGGGUGCAAGCGUUAUUCGGAUUUAUUGGGCGUAAAGCGCAUGUAGGCGGUUCGGUAAGUCUGGUGUGAAAGCCCUCGACUCAAUCGAGGAAGUGCAUUGGAUACUGUCGAACUGGAGUACAGGAGGGGUGAGCGGAAUUCCAGGUGUAGAGGUGAAAUUCGUAGAUAUCUGGAGGAACAACAGCGGCGAAGGCGGCUCACUGGACUGUAACUGACGCUCAGAUGCGAUAGUGUGGGGAGCAAACAGG
RNAcentral lists this ribosomal RNA (253 nucleotides) under uncultured bacterium. Its description in RNAcentral is "partial 16S ribosomal RNA". It matches the Rfam family "Bacterial small subunit ribosomal RNA", at positions 524 to 776 of the family's 1533-position model. The record is from RNAcentral.